AAGUCGAGCGGUAGAGAGAAGCUUGCUUCUUUUGAGAGCGGCGGACGGGUGAGUAAUGCCUAGGAAUCUGCCUGGUAGUGGGGGAUAACGUUCGGAAACGGACGCUAAUACCGCAUACGUCCUACGGGAGAAAGCAGGGGACCUUCGGGCCUUGCGCUAUCAGAUGAGCCUAGGUCGGAUUAGCUAGUUGGUGAGGUAAUGGCUCACCAAGGCUACGAUCCGUAACUGGUCUGAGAGGAUGAUCAGUCACACUGGAACUGAGACACGGCCCAGACUCCUACGGGAGGCAGCAGUGGGGAAUUUUGGACAAUGGGCGAAAGCCUGAUCCAGCAAUGCCGCGUGCAGGAUGAAGGCCUUCGGGUUGUAAACUGCUUUUGUACGGAACGAAAAAGCUUCUCCUAAUACGAGAGGCCCAUGACGGUACCGUAAGAAUAAGCACCGGCUAACUACGUGCCAGCAGCCGCGGUAAU
Molecule: ribosomal RNA, 470 nt
Filed under: uncultured bacterium
Lineage: Bacteria
Description: bacterial SSU rRNA
Rfam family: Bacterial small subunit ribosomal RNA
Source: RNAcentral